This 440-nucleotide ribosomal RNA is filed under the name uncultured bacterium. RNAcentral describes it as "partial 16S ribosomal RNA". It matches the Rfam family "Bacterial small subunit ribosomal RNA", at positions 338 to 795 of the family's 1533-position model. The record is from RNAcentral.
CCUACGGGUGGCAGCAGUGGGGGAUAUUGCACAAUGGGGGAAACCCUGAUGCAGCGACGCCGCGUGUGGGAAGACGGUCCUCUGGAUUGUAAACCACUGUCCCCAGGGACGAAGAUGACGGUAGCUGGGGAGGAUGCUCCGGCUAACUGCGUGCCAGCAGCCGCGGUACUACGCAGGGGGCGAGCGUUGUCCGGAAUUACUGGGUGUAAAGGGAGCGUAGGCGGGGAUGCAGGUUGGGGGUCAAAACUACCGGCUCAACUGGUAGUCGCACUCAAAACUGCAGCUCUUGAGUGAAGUAGAGGCAGGCGGAAUUCCUAGUGUAGCGGUGAAAUGCGUAGAUAUUGGGAAGAACACCAGUGGCGAAGGCGGCCUGCUGGGCUUUUACUGACGCUGAGGCUCGAAAGUGUGGGUAGCGAACAGGAUUAGAUACCCCAGUAGUC